Molecule: ribosomal RNA, 253 nt
Filed under: uncultured bacterium
Lineage: Bacteria
Description: partial 16S ribosomal RNA
Rfam family: Bacterial small subunit ribosomal RNA
Source: RNAcentral
UACGUAGGGGGCAAGCGUUGUCCGGAAUUAUUGGGCGUAAAGGGUGCGUAGGCGGCGGGGCAAGUCUGAUGUGAAAUCCCGGGGCUCAACCCCGGAACUGCAUUGGAAACUGCUUGGCUUGAGUUCGGGAGAGGGAAGCGGAAUUCCGGGUGUAGCGGUGAAAUGCGUAGAUAUCCGGAGGAACACCGGUGGCGAAGGCGGCUUCCUGGACCGACACUGACGCUGAGGCGCGAAAGCUAGGGGAGCAAACGGG